UUGAACGCUGGCGGCAGGCCUAACACAUGCAAGUCGAGCGGAUGAAGGGAGCUUGCUCCUGGAUUCAGCGGCGGACGGGUGAGUAAUGCCUAGGAAUCUGCCUGGUAGUGGGGGAUAACGUCCGGAAACGGGCGCUAAUACCGCAUACGUCCUGAGGGAGAAAGUGGGGGAUCUUCGGACCUCACGCUCUCAGAUGAGCCUAGGUCGGAUUAGCUAGUUGGUGGGGUAAAGGCCUACCAAGGCGACGAUCCGUAACUGGUCUGAGAGGAUGAUCAGUCACACUGGAACUGAGACACGGUCCAGACUCCUACGGGAGGCAGCAGUGGGGAAUAUUGGGCAAUGGGCGAAAGCCUGAUCCAGCCAUGCCGCGUGUGUGAAGAAGGUCUUCGGAUUGUAAAGCACUUUAAGUUGGGAGGAAGGGCAGUAAGUUAAUACCUUGCUGUUUUGACGUUACCAACAGAAUAAGCACCGGCUAACUUCGUG
Molecule: ribosomal RNA, 483 nt
Filed under: uncultured bacterium
Lineage: Bacteria
Description: partial 16S ribosomal RNA
Rfam family: Bacterial small subunit ribosomal RNA
Source: RNAcentral